RNAcentral lists this ribosomal RNA (289 nucleotides) under Phyllactinia fraxini. RNAcentral's name for it is "partial large subunit ribosomal RNA". It matches the Rfam family "Eukaryotic large subunit ribosomal RNA", at positions 1 to 284 of the family's 3401-position model. Lineage: Eukaryota; Fungi; Ascomycota; Leotiomycetes; Helotiales; Erysiphaceae. The record is from RNAcentral.
UUGACCUCGAAUCAGGUAGGGAUACCCGCUGAACUUAAGCAUAUCAAUAAGCGGAGGAAAAGAAACCAACCGGGAUUACCCUAGUAACGGCGAGUGAAGCGGUAACAGCUCAAAUUUGAAAUCUGGCUCCCUGCGGAGUCCGAGUUGUAAUUUGUAGAAGAUGCUUUGGGUGCUCGGCCCGGUCUAAGUUCCUUGGAACAGGACGUCGUAGAGGGUGAGAAUCCCGUAUGCGGCCGGGGUGGGUGCUCGUGUAAAGCUCUUUCGACGAGUCGAGUUGUUUGGGAAUGCA